This 400-nucleotide unclassified non-coding RNA is filed under the name soil metagenome. Its description in RNAcentral is "partial contains 5.8S ribosomal RNA, internal transcribed spacer 2, and large subunit ribosomal RNA". The stretch from base 1 to 122 matches the Rfam family "5.8S ribosomal RNA", at positions 35 to 154 of the family's 154-position model. The record is from RNAcentral.
GAUGAAGAACGCAGCGAAAUGCGAUACUUGGUGUGAAUUGCAGAAUCCCGUGAACCAUCGAGUCUUUGAACGCAAGUUGCGCCUCAAGCCAUUAGGUUGAGGGCACGUCUGCCUGGGCGUCACAUAUCGUUGCCUGAUGCCAGUUUCCUCGUGAUGGGUGACUGUGCAGGGCGAAUGAUGGCUUCCCGUGAGCAUUGUUGCCUCAUGGUUGGUUGAAAAUUGAGUCCUUGGUAGGGAGCGCCGUGAUAGAUGGUGGUUGAGUGACGAACGAGACCCAAUCAUGUGAGACCCCUACCGAAUUUGGCCUUCAUGACCCAGAUGCGUCUUUGGAACGCUCAUGACGAGACCUCAGGUCAGGCGGGGCUACCCGCUGAGUUUAAGCAUAUCAAUAAGCGGAGGA